This 1343-nucleotide ribosomal RNA is filed under the name uncultured bacterium. Its description in RNAcentral is "16S ribosomal RNA". It matches the Rfam family "Bacterial small subunit ribosomal RNA", at positions 28 to 1378 of the family's 1533-position model. The record is from RNAcentral.
GACGAACGCUGGCGGCGUGCUUAACACAUGCAAGUCGAACGGAAAGGCCCUGCUUUUGUGGGGUGCUCGAGUGGCGAACGGGUGAGUAACACGUGAGUAACCUGCCCUUGACUUUGGGAUAACUUCAGGAAACUGGGGCUAAUACCGGAUAGGAGCUCCUGCUGCAUGGUGGGGGUUGGAAAGUUUCGGCGGUUGGGGAUGGACUCGCGGCUUAUCAGCUUGUUGGUGGGGUAGUGGCUUACCAAGGCUUUGACGGGUAGCCGGCCUGAGAGGGUGACCGGCCACAUUGGGACUGAGAUACGGCCCAGACUCCUACGGGAGGCAGCAGUGGGGAAUAUUGCACAAUGGGCGGAAGCCUGAUGCAGCAACGCCGCGUGCGGGGUGACGGCCUUCGGGUUGUAAACCGCUUUCGCCUGUGACGAAGCGUGAGUGACGGUAAUGGGUAAAGAAGCACCGGCUAACUACGUGCCAGCAGCCGCGGUGAUACGUAGGGUGCGAGCGUUGUCCGGAUUUAUUGGGCGUAAAGGGCUCGUAGGUGGUUGAUCGCGUCGGAAGUGUAAUCUUGGGGCUUAACCCUGAGCGUGCUUUCGAUACGGGUUGACUUGAGGAAGGUAGGGGAGAAUGGAAUUCCUGGUGGAGCGGUGGAAUGCGCAGAUAUCAGAGGAACACCCAGUGGCGAAGGCGGUUCUCUGGGCCUUUCCUGACGCUGAGGAGCGAAAGCGUGGGGAGCGAACAGGCUUAGAUACCCUGGUAGUCCACGCUGUAAACGGUGGGUACUAGGUGUGGGGUCCAUUCCACGGGUUCCGUGCCGUAGCUAACGCUUUAAGUACCCCGCCUGGGGAGUACGGCCGCAAGGCUAAAACUCAAAGGAAUUGACGGGGCCCCGCACAAGCGGCGGAGCAUGCGGAUUAAUUCGAUGCAACGCGUAGAACCUUACCUGGGUUUGACAUGGAUCGGGAGUGCUCAGAGAUGGGUGUGCCUCUUUUGGGGUCGGUUCACAGGUGGUGCAUGGCUGUCGUCAGCUCGUGUCGUGAGAUGUUGGGUUAAGUCCCGCAACGAGCGCAACCCUUGUUCACUGUUGCCAGCACGUUAUGGUGGGGACUCAGUGGAGACCGCCGGGGUCAACUCGGAGGAAGGUGGGGAUGACGUCAAGUCAUCAUGCCCCUUAUGUCCAGGGCUUCACGCAUGCUACAAUGGCUGGUACAGAGAGUGGCGAGCCUGUGAGGGUGAGCGAAUCUCGGAAAGCCGGUCUCAGUUCGGAUUGGGGUCUGCAACUCGACCUCAUGAAGUCGGAGUCGCUAGUAAUCGCAGAUCAGCAACGCUGCGGUGAAUACGUUCCCGGG